GAGUUUGAUCCUGGCUCAGAUUGAACGCUGGCGGCAGGCUUAACACAUGCAAGUCGAACGGUAACAUGAGUGCUUGCACUUGAUGACGAGUGGCGGACGGGUGAGUAAUGUAUGGGGAUCUACCGAAUGGAUUGGGACAACAGUUGGAAACGACUGCUAAUACCGAAUAAUGUUGCGAGACCAAAGGGUGCUUACGGGCACUUGCCAUUUGAUGAACCCAUAUGAGAUUAGCUAGUUGGUGGGGUAAAGGCUCACCAAGGCGACGAUCUCUAGCUGGUCUGAGAGGAUGACCAGCCACACUGGAACUGAGACACGGUCCAGACUCCUACGGGAGGCAGCAGUGGGGAAUAUUGCACAAUGGGGGAAACCCUGAUGCAGCCAUGCCGCGUGUAUGAAGAAGGCCUUCGGGUUGUAAAGUACUUUCGGUAAUGAGGAAGGUGGUGUAUCUAAUAGGUGCAUCAAUUGACGUUAAUUACAGAAGAAGCACCGGCCAACUCCGUGCCAGCAGCCGCGGUAAUACGGAGGGUGCGAGCGUUAAUCGGAAUGACUGGGCGUAAAGGGCAUGUAGGCGGAUAAUUAAGUUAGGUGUGAAAGCCCUGGGCUCAACCUAGGAAUUGCACUUAAAACUGGUUAACUAGAGUAUUGUAGAGGAAGGUAGAAUUCCACGUGUAGCGGUGAAAUGCGUAGAGAUGUGGAGGAAUACCGGUGGCGAAGGCGGCCUUCUGGACAGAUACUGACGCUGAGAUGCGAAAGCGUGGGGAGCAAACAGGAUUAGAUACCCUGGUAGUCCACACUGUAAACGAUGUCGAUUUGGAGUUUGUUGCCUAGAGUGAUGGGCUCCGAAGCUAACGCGAUAAAUCGACCGCCUGGGGAGUACGGCCGCAAGGUUAAAACUCAAAUGAAUUGACGGGGGCCCGCACAAGCGGUGGAGCAUGUGGUUUAAUUCGAUGCAACGCGAAGAACCUUACCUGGUCUUGACAUCCACAGAAUCUUGCAGAGAUGCGAGAGUGCCUUCGGGAACUGUGAGACAGGUGCUGCAUGGCUGUCGUCAGCUCGUGUUGUGAAAUGUUGGGUUAAGUCCCGCAACGAGCGCAACCCUUAUCCUUUGUUGCCAUUGGUUCGGCCGGGAACUCAAAGGAGACUGCCGUUGAUAAAGCGGAGGAAGGUGGGGACGACGUCAAGUCAUCAUGGCCCUUACGACCAGGGCUACACACGUGCUACAAUGGCGUAUACAAAGGGAGGCGA
Molecule: ribosomal RNA, 1245 nt
Filed under: uncultured Gammaproteobacteria bacterium
Lineage: Bacteria; Pseudomonadati; Pseudomonadota; Gammaproteobacteria
Description: bacterial SSU rRNA
Rfam family: Bacterial small subunit ribosomal RNA
Source: RNAcentral